UUCAUUUGCUUUUAUUUUUUCUUUUUUUCAAAAAGUAUCUUCUGAUAGUAGUAAUGAGAUAAGUCAGAGAGAUCAUCAGAGAGAUCGUGCACCUUAGUCGACCCAACAACUGCUUGAGUUUGAGGUGAAAAAUUCACCUCAAGCAACAGCCGAAAUCAGUACCUCAGGUCGGAAGGAUUUGGAAUCUUUUAUAAGGAGUUUUUUGGAUUACUUCGACCUAAGUAUUGAACAAUUUAUCCUAACCGAUCUGGAUCUUUAGAAACUUAGAAAAAAAUAUUCAAUUUCUAAAGAAUUCUAACUGAUAGCUCUGGAUCAGAAUGAUCGGAUUACUGAUCCUCCAGAAGAUUGUGUUGCAUUUUAUGAUGAGGCACUUCGGUCUGGACUUCGAUUUCCUUUACAUCCCUUCUUUAGUAAUAUUUUAGAUUUCUAUAGAUUUUAUCUAACCCAAGUUAUUUUCAAUGCCAUUAGGAUGA
Molecule: long non-coding RNA, 473 nt
Filed under: Elaeis guineensis (African oil palm)
Lineage: Eukaryota; Viridiplantae; Streptophyta; Magnoliopsida; Arecales; Arecaceae
Description: long non-coding RNA (EGUI_LNC030722)
Source: RNAcentral